Molecule: non-coding RNA, 195 nt
Organism: Cicer arietinum (chickpea)
Lineage: Eukaryota; Viridiplantae; Streptophyta; Magnoliopsida; Fabales; Fabaceae
Source: Rfam
AUACCUUUCUCGGCCUUUUGGCUAAGAUCAAGUGUAGUAUCUGUUCUUAUCAGUUUAAUAUCUGAUAUGUGGUCCAAUGGGCCACACGAUAUUAAAUUACUUUUUUGAGGGGGAGAUGCCACUUCAGUAGCUUGCUACUGGGCUUCUCGCGGGUCGCCAAUGCGUUGCACUACUGCAUUGGCUGGCGCACCCCAC